This 468-nucleotide ribosomal RNA is filed under the name uncultured bacterium. RNAcentral's name for it is "partial 16S ribosomal RNA". It matches the Rfam family "Bacterial small subunit ribosomal RNA", at positions 28 to 507 of the family's 1533-position model. The record is from RNAcentral.
GACGAACGCUGGCGGCGUGCUUAACACAUGCAAGUCGAACGGAAAGGCCCUGCUUUUGUGGGGUGCUCGAGUGGCGAACGGGUGAGUAAAACGUGAGUAACCUGCCCUUGACUUUGGGAUAAAUUCAGGAAAAUGGGGCUAAUACCGGAUAGGAGCUCCCGCUGCAUGGGGGGGGUUGGAAAGUUUCGGCGGUUGGGGAUGGACUCGCGGCUUAUCAGCUUGUUGGUGGGGUAGUGGCUUACCAAGGCUUUGACGGGUAGCCGGCCUGAGAGGGUGACCGGCCACAUUGGGACUGAGAUACGGCCCAGACUCCUACGGGAGGCAGCAGUGGGGAAUAUUGCACAAUGGGCGGAAGCCUGAUGCAGCAACGCCGCGUGCGGGAUGACGGCCUUCGGGUUGUAAACCGCUUUCGCCUGUGACGAAGCGUGAGUGACGGUAAUGGGUAAAGAAGCACCGGCUAACUACGUG